RNAcentral lists this transfer RNA (166 nucleotides) under Candidatus Aenigmatarchaeota archaeon. Its description in RNAcentral is "tRNA-Glu". It matches the Rfam family "tRNA". Rfam says of the family: Transfer RNA (tRNA) molecules are approximately 80 nucleotides in length. Lineage: Archaea; Nanobdellati; Candidatus Aenigmatarchaeota. The record is from RNAcentral.
GCCCCUGUAGUCUAGCUCGGUCCAGGAUAUCGCCCUUUCGAGGCGGAGACCCGGGGUCAUUCCUUCUUUUAGAAAAAGAAGGUCUGACAACUCCAAGAAAAGGAGGUUACCGCUUCGCGAAAUUCAGACGUGAAGUGGGUAGGGAAUUCAAAUCCCGGCAGGGGCA